RNAcentral lists this ribosomal RNA (423 nucleotides) under uncultured bacterium. Its description in RNAcentral is "bacterial SSU rRNA". It matches the Rfam family "Bacterial small subunit ribosomal RNA", at positions 358 to 773 of the family's 1533-position model. The record is from RNAcentral.
GGAAUAUUGGUCAAUGGGCGCAAGCCUGAACCAGCCACGCCGCGUGAGUGAUGAAGGCCUUCGGGUUGUAAAGCUCUGUGGGGAGGGAAGAAAACGGCACGUAAGCAACGACGUGUCCUUGACGGUACCUCCUUCGCAAGCACCGGCUAACUCUGUGCCAGCAGCCGCGGUAAUCCAGAGGGUGCGAACGUUGCUCGGAAUUACUGGGCGUAAAGCGCGUGUAGGCGGGACCGCAAGUCAGAUGUGAAAUCCCCGAGCUCAACUCGGGAACUGCAUCUGAAACUGCGGACCUUGAGUACUGGAGAGGGCGGCGGAAUUCCUGGUGUAGAGGUGAAAUUCGUAGAUAUCAGGAGGAACACCGGUGGCGAAGGCGGCCGCCUGGACAGUUACUGACGCUGAGGCGCGAAAGCGUGGGGAGCAAAC